RNAcentral lists this ribosomal RNA (253 nucleotides) under uncultured bacterium. Its description in RNAcentral is "partial 16S ribosomal RNA". It matches the Rfam family "Bacterial small subunit ribosomal RNA", at positions 524 to 776 of the family's 1533-position model. The record is from RNAcentral.
UACGGGGGGGGCAAGCGUUGUUCGGAAUUACUGGGCGUAAAGGGCUCGUAGGCGGCCAACUAAGUCGGAUGUGAAAUCCCCAGGCUCAACUUGGGAACUGCAUCCGAUACUGGAUGGCUUGAAUUCGGGAGAGGGAUGCAGAAUUCCAUGUGUAGCGGUGAAAUGCGUAGAUAUCUGGAGGAAUACCGGUGGCGAAGGCGGCAUCCUGGACCGACAUUGACGCUGAGGAGCGAAAGCUAGGGGAGCAAACGGG